UCCUUUUGGAACGAGAGAUGAGGAGCUUGCUCUUCAAAUCGAGUGGCGAACGGGUGAGUAACGCGUGAGGAACCUGCCUCAAAGAGGGGGACAACAGUUGGAAACGACUGCUAAUACCGCAUAAGCCCACGGCUCGGCAUCGAGCAGAGGGAAAAGGAGCAAUCCGCUUUGAGAUGGCCUCGCGUCCGAUUAGCUAGUUGGUGAGGUAAUGGCCCACCAAGGCAACGAUCGGUAGCCGGACUGAGAGGUUGAACGGCCACAUUGGGACUGAGACACGGCCCAGACUCCUACGGGAGGCAGCAGUGGGGAAUAUUGCACAAUGGGGGAAACCCUGAUGCAGCGACGCCGCGUGGAGGAAGAAGGUCUUCGGAUUGUAAACUCCUGUUGUUGAGGAAGAUAAUGACGGUACUCAACAAGGAAGUGACGGCUAACUACGUGCCAGCAGCCGCGGUAAAACGUAGGUCACAAGCGUUGUCCGGAAUUACUGGGUGUAAAGGGAGCGCAGGCGGGAGAACAAGUUGGAAGUGAAAUCCAUGGGCUCAACCCAUGAACUGCUUUCAAAACUGUUUUUCUUGAGUAGUGCAGAGGUAGGCGGAGUUCCCGGUGUAGCGGUGGAAUGCGUAGAUAUCGGGAGGAACACCAGUGGCGAAGGCGGCCUACUGGGCACCAACUGACGCUGAGGCUCGAAAGUGUGGGUAGCA
This 701-nucleotide ribosomal RNA is filed under the name uncultured bacterium. RNAcentral's name for it is "bacterial SSU rRNA". It matches the Rfam family "Bacterial small subunit ribosomal RNA", at positions 62 to 770 of the family's 1533-position model. The record is from RNAcentral.